Molecule: unclassified non-coding RNA, 772 nt
Filed under: Hevea brasiliensis (rubber tree)
Lineage: Eukaryota; Viridiplantae; Streptophyta; Magnoliopsida; Malpighiales; Euphorbiaceae
Source: RNAcentral
GUUCCUAUUCUGCCCCGGGCAAGUUUGUAGAUGGUGUUUUGGUUUUAGAGUGCAGCCGGUAGAGACAAGAAGAGGGAUUCUUUGUGGCUAUUUUAGGUCAUAUUGGUUUUGGUUUCUUUUUUUUUUUUUUUUUUCAUGCGUGUGUUUUUAAGGAGCUGUUGUCCAUUUGUUUGUGGUAUUGGUUUGUUAGGGUCUAUUUCAUGGUGUGGGCUUUGAAGGAAAUUGGGGAAGGAAGUCAUCUCAAGGUCCUUACCAUACCGACACCCAAUGGUGCUUGCUGACCCAAGAUUGGGAGCUAUGCUUCCUUCACCACUAGCACCAAAGAUAGAUCCUUUACUGUUGGAGUGUGGGCACUUCGUUUUCGGUCAAGAUCCUUUCUUGUACUGGUUAUGAUGGCCAUACCUGGCUUCCAGAGGAAAGGACUUUUGUGUAUUUCUUGCUCCAAUAGUUUCAGCUUGCCUUCCCGAUACUCUUGAGUUGCUGUCAUCUAGGAGACCACCUCUUCAAGCAUCUUCAACUGUGUACACUGCCCCAAUGGUGCUUCAGUUAGUCUCACUUCUCCCAUUGGUGUUAGCCAGAUGAUCAAGCUGGGGCUGUUGCGAUUCUCGUUGGGAUUCCUCUAUUAUGUUCUCUGAGGCGCCAUUUUUUUGUCUAUCAGGUCAUGGAUUUGCUAGUCUAGACUCUUUCUCUGUUAGUGUUUCUUUUGUAAUCGAUUUAUGCUUUUAUUUGAGCAGAGUUGGUCUUUUAGCUGGAAUCCUUGUUUGUUUGCCCA